This 163-nucleotide ribosomal RNA is filed under the name Dalechampia elongata. RNAcentral's name for it is "5.8S ribosomal RNA". It matches the Rfam family "5.8S ribosomal RNA". From Rfam's summary of the family: 5.8S ribosomal RNA (5.8S rRNA) is a component of the large subunit of the eukaryotic ribosome. It is transcribed by RNA polymerase I as part of the 45S precursor that also contains 18S and 28S rRNA. Functionally, it is thought that 5.8S rRNA may be involved in ribosome translocation. The record is from RNAcentral. Lineage: Eukaryota; Viridiplantae; Streptophyta; Magnoliopsida; Malpighiales; Euphorbiaceae.
UAACGACUCUCGACAACGGAUAUCUUGGCUCUCGCAUCGAUGAAGAACGCAGCAAAAUGCGAUACUUGGUGUGAAUUGCAGAAUCCCGUGAAUCAUCGAGUUUUUGAACGCAAGUUGCGCCCGAAGCCUUUCGGCCGAGGGCACGUCUGCCUGGGUGUCACGC